GACGAACGCUGGCGGCGUGCUUAACACAUGCAAGUCGAACGGAAAGGCCCUGCUUUCACUCUACUCGAGUGGCGAACGGGUGAGUAACUCGCGGGUGAUUUGCCUUCCACUUCGGGAUAAGCCAGGGAAACUGGCUCUAACACCUGCUAGGAACCAUUUGUAGUGUCAUGGUUGUAAAGUUUUUGCGGGGUAGGCGGGGCUCGCGGCCUAUCAUCUUGUUGGUGUGGUAAUGGCCUACCAAGGCGGCGACGGGUAGCCGGCCUGAGAGGGUGGCCGGCCACAUUGGGACUGAGAUACGGGCCAGACGCCUACGGGAGGCAGCAGGGGGGAAUAUUGCACAAUGGGCGCAAGCCUGAUACAGCGACGCCGCGUGGGGGAUGACGGCCUUCGGGUUAUAAACUCCUUUCGCUAGGGACGAAGCUUUUGUGACGGUACCUAGAUAAGAAGCACCGGCUAACUACGUG
This 464-nucleotide ribosomal RNA is filed under the name uncultured bacterium. RNAcentral describes it as "partial 16S ribosomal RNA". It matches the Rfam family "Bacterial small subunit ribosomal RNA", at positions 28 to 507 of the family's 1533-position model. The record is from RNAcentral.